This 851-nucleotide ribosomal RNA is filed under the name Leuconostoc pseudomesenteroides. Its description in RNAcentral is "bacterial SSU rRNA". It matches the Rfam family "Bacterial small subunit ribosomal RNA", at positions 33 to 866 of the family's 1533-position model. Lineage: Bacteria; Bacillati; Bacillota; Bacilli; Lactobacillales; Lactobacillaceae. The record is from RNAcentral.
ACGCUGGCGGCGUGCUAAUACAUGCAAGUCGAACGCACAGCGAAAGGUGCUUGCACCUUUCAAGUGAGUGGCGAACGGGUGAGUAACACGUGGACAACCUGCCUCAAGGCUGGGGAUAACAUUUGGAAACAGAUGCUAAUACCGAAUAAAACUUAGUGUCGCAUGACACAAAGUUAAAAGGCGCUUUGGCGUCACCUAGAGAUGGAUCCGCGGUGCAUUAGUUAGUUGGUGGGGUAAAGGCCUACCAAGACAAUGAUGCAUAGCCGAGUUGAGAGACUGAUCGGCCACAUUGGGACUGAGACACGGCCCAAACUCCUACGGGAGGCUGCAGUAGGGAAUCUUCCACAAUGGGCGAAAGCCUGAUGGAGCAACGCCGCGUGUGUGAUGAAGGCUUUCGGGUCGUAAAGCACUGUUGUAUGGGAAGAACAGCUAGAAUAGGGAAUGAUUUUAGUUUGACGGUACCAUACCAGAAAGGGACGGCUAAAUACGUGCCAGCAGCCGCGGUAAUACGUAUGUCCCGAGCGUUAUCCGGAUUUAUUGGGCGUAAAGCGAGCGCAGACGGUUGAUUAAGUCUGAUGUGAAAGCCCGGAGCUCAACUCCGGAAUGGCAUUGGAAACUGGUUAACUUGAGUGCAGUAGAGGUAAGUGGAACUCCAUGUGUAGCGGUGGAAUGCGUAGAUAUAUGGAAGAACACCAGUGGCGAAGGCGGCUUACUGGACUGUAACUGACGUUGAGGCUCGAAAGUGUGGGUAGCAAACAGGAUUAGAUACCCUGGUAGUCCACACCGUAAACGAUGAACACUAGGUGUUAGGAGGUUUCCGCCUCUUAGUGCCGAAGCUAACGCAUUAAGUG